GGGGCCGGCCUAACCAUGCAAGUCGAGCGGUAGAGAGGUGCUUGCACCUCUUGAGAGCGGCGGACGGGUGAGUAAAGCCUAUGAAUCUGCCUGGGACUGGGGGAUAACGCUCGGAAACGGACGCUAAUACCGCAUACGUCCUACGGGACAAAGCAGGGGACCUUCGGGCCUUGCGCUAUCGCAUGAGCCUAGGUCGGAUUAGCUAUUUGGUGAGGUAAUGGCUCCCCCUCGCCACGAUCCGUAACUGGUCUGAGAGGAUGAUCAUUCCCACUGGAACUGAAACACGGACCAGACUCCUACGGGAGGCAGCAGUGGGGAAUAUUGGACAAUGGGCGAAAGCCUGAUCCAGCCAUGCCGCGUGUGUGAAGAAGGUCUUCGGAUUGUAAAUCACUUUAAGUUGGGAGGAAGGGCAUUAACCUAAUACGUUAGUGUUUUGACGUUACCGACAGAAUAAGCACCGGCUAACUCUGUGCCAGCAGCCGCGGUAAUACAGAGGGUGCAAGCGUUAAUCGGAAUUACUGGGCGUAAAGCGCGCGUAGGUGGUUCGUUAAGUUGGAUGUGAUAUCCCCGGGCUCAACCUGGCAACUGCAUUCAAAACUGUCCAGCUAGAGUAUGGUAGAGGGUGGUGGAAUUUCCUGUGUAGCGGAGAAAUGCGUAGAUAUAGGAAGGAACACCAGUGGCGAAGGCGACCACCUGCACUGAUACUGACACUGAGGUGCGAAAGCGUGGGGAGCAAACAGGACUAGAUACCCUGGUAUGCCACGCCGUAAACGAUGUCAACUAGACGUUGGGAGCCUUGAGCUCUUACUGGCGCAGCUAACGCAUUAAGUUGACCGCCUGGCGAGUACGGUCGCAAGGUUAAAACUCAAAUGAAUUGACGGGGGCCCGCACAAGCGGUGCAGCAUGUGGUGUAAUUUCAAAGCAACGCGAAGAGCCUUACCAUGGCCUGGACAUCCCAUGAACUUUUCCAUAGAUGGAAUUGAUGCCUUCCGGUAACAUUGACGACAGGAGCUUGCAUGGCUGUCGUCACUCGUGUUCGUGAUGAUGAUUGGGUUAAGUUCCGUCACGAGACGCAGCCCUUGUCCUUUAGUUUACCAUGCACGUUAGUGCUUGGGCCAGUCCUAAUACGGAAGACGGCCUGGUGAACCAA
This 1150-nucleotide ribosomal RNA is filed under the name Pseudomonas sp. RNAcentral's name for it is "bacterial SSU rRNA". It matches the Rfam family "Bacterial small subunit ribosomal RNA", at positions 39 to 1174 of the family's 1533-position model. Lineage: Bacteria; Pseudomonadati; Pseudomonadota; Gammaproteobacteria; Pseudomonadales; Pseudomonadaceae. The record is from RNAcentral.